This 74-nucleotide transfer RNA is filed under the name Sympetrum gracile. RNAcentral describes it as "tRNA valine". Lineage: Eukaryota; Metazoa; Arthropoda; Insecta; Odonata; Libellulidae. The record is from RNAcentral.
AGAAAGGGAGCAAAUUGGAGCUUGAGAGGAAGCAUCUCAUUUACACUGAGAAUUUAAUUGUGCAAUUCAAUUUA